CGCGUAACACGUGGGCAACCUGCCUUGAAGCGGGGGACAACAAUCCGAAAGGGUUGCUAAUACCGCAUGUGAACUUUUGUGGCAUCACGAAAUGUUCAAAGCUUUAUGCACUUCAAGAUGGGCCCGCGGCCUAUCAGCUAGUUGGUGGGGUAACGGCCUACCAAGGCUUCGACGGGUAGCUGGUCUGAGAGGACGAUCAGCCGGAUUGGGACUGAGAUACGGCCCAG
RNAcentral lists this ribosomal RNA (227 nucleotides) under uncultured bacterium. Its description in RNAcentral is "partial 16S ribosomal RNA". It matches the Rfam family "Bacterial small subunit ribosomal RNA", at positions 107 to 334 of the family's 1533-position model. The record is from RNAcentral.